This 249-nucleotide ribosomal RNA is filed under the name uncultured Actinomycetales bacterium. Its description in RNAcentral is "partial 16S ribosomal RNA". It matches the Rfam family "Bacterial small subunit ribosomal RNA", at positions 82 to 334 of the family's 1533-position model. The record is from RNAcentral. Lineage: Bacteria; Bacillati; Actinomycetota; Actinomycetes; Actinomycetales.
CGGAGGUACUCGAGUGGCGAACGGGUGAGUAACACGUGGGUGAUCUGCCCUGCACUCUGGGAUAAGCCUGGUAAACUGGGUCUAAUACCGGAUAGGACCGCACUUUAGUGUGUGUGGUGGAAAGUUUUUUCGGUGUAGGAUGAGCCCGCGGCCUAUCAGCUUGUUGGUGGGGUAAUGGCCUACCAAGGCGGCGACGGGUAGCCGGACUGAGAGGUUGGUCGGCCACAUUGGGACUGAGAUACGGCCCAG